UAAUACUUUGAACGUGACUAUUAAUAUUAUUGUAAGAGAAAUGUGCAUAAUUAUUUUAGUUGUUACAAAUAUAUAAGAAUCGGAGUUAUGGAUCUCUUAGUAACUUUAAGAUCAUGGUUUGCGCACUAAGUUUGUUUUUGGUUGCGAUGUGCUUAGCAUCAUCUCACGGAUUUGGUUUCUUGGGCGCUUGUAAAGAUUGCAACGAUGAUGAGGAUGAUGGUCUCUUCGAUUUUCUAGGAGAUUUCUUUUGUGAUAUAUUUUGUGAUGCUGAUGAUGAUGAUGAUGAUGCAGAAACUACUACCAUGCCAGCUAAUACUUCAACUACUACUAGCAGUUCACAGUCUGAAAGUUCUUCGUCAACAGAAACUACCUCUCCAGCUGCUUCUACAACCACUGGGUCAGAUUCCCCAUCAACUUCAACAACUGUCUCACCUUAAUUGAAUGUGCAGAAACGUGUGGGAAGUGGUGAUACAGAGUGUUUUUUAAAUUACAUAAUAAUAAUAAUAUUUAUUUAAUCCUGUUACGACAUAAAAAUGUAUAGGACAAAGUCAAAUGUGAGGACAAAUGUACAAUAAAACAGUGAAACAAGCACAGAAAUACAAUUAACGAUUUGCUAUGUACCGAGGAGCACCAGGAUCAUUUAAGAGUUUUUCAACGUUAUAGAACAUCUUGUCUAGAGACUUAGUUUACGUUUGAACGUAUGGAAGUUGUUGGCCGUUGUAAUGGGACUGCACUGAUCAUUAGUUCUUCCUCGUGGGCCAUCGCAAUAAUAGAAUCCUAUUUUGAAAAGUAAGUACCUACGUUUGGGACUUUUGGCACUGAGCAUGUUGUCCUUUGGGAGUGGAAUGCUCAAAAUCAUAGUGUUUAAAGUUACCGUUAAUUGGCAGCGUUUAUUUUCCAUUGUUAGUCCGUUUGUCCGUUGGUUUACUCCAUUGUUAGUGUUUAGGGUGUGCAAUACAAAAAUCGAAAUUAUUUGUCUUCUCGCUACCAUGAUAUAAAUAAGUGUUGUUGCAA
Photinus pyralis (common eastern firefly) is the source of this 1014-nucleotide long non-coding RNA. RefSeq lists it as uncharacterized. The record is from RefSeq and is a predicted model, not a curated record. The transcript has 3 exons. Lineage: Eukaryota; Metazoa; Arthropoda; Insecta; Coleoptera; Lampyridae.